Vicia villosa (hairy vetch) is the source of this 6654-nucleotide long non-coding RNA. RefSeq lists it as uncharacterized. NCBI's taxonomy places the organism in Eukaryota, Viridiplantae, Streptophyta, Magnoliopsida, Fabales, Fabaceae. The record is from RefSeq and is a predicted model, not a curated record. The transcript has 5 exons.
UUACGCACCAACGAAAAUUUCACGUUUUACUCUUCCCUCUCAAGUUCAUUUGGCAAAUCUGAAAUUUUUUCACCAAAACCCUAAACACAAAUCAUUCCAAAAUCAAAAUCUGAUAAACUCAUUACUUCAAUUUCUUCUUCUCAAACUCUCAAACUCAGAAAUUGUAGAAAAUUUCACCUAAAACCAUAAACCCUAAAAUCACGAAGAGAGCUUCUUCGACCUAGAUCUUUUCUUUAUUCAUCUCGACAGCUGUUUUUGCCAUUAAAGUGUUCACCCUCAGCCGUACAGCUGACCAACCUUUGUUGUUUGCAGGAAAACCACAUCUCACCGUUCAACAUUCGCAUACCAGACGCGUUGAAAAAAAAUUCACAGGUUAAUAUCUUUAUUUUGAUUCCAUCUCUCUAGUCGGUUUUAGCUUUCGUAUUCAUGAUUGUUUGAAUUUAUGUGUUUUCACGUACCCUACAUGCACACGGUGGAACUGUCUACUUAGUUUUUUUUAAAACUUUUUUCUAAAAUAAGUGACAAAGGGUUGGUUGUCAAAUUUUCUACUAAUAAUAAUUAAAUCAAGAAGUAAAUAUGAAUGGGUGAACAAAAAUUGAAAUGAAAAGUGAUCUAGAGGGUGGAGAAUUAAGAGAAGAAAAGGGGUACGGGGACUUUUUGUGUUUGAUUGAGUAAAAAUGUAUUAGAAAGAUGACACUGUAAAGUUUGUUGUUUUUGCAUUGAAGAAAGGCUCUUUUUGAAUCCUUUUUCUAUUCCAUUUUAGCUAAAACUUGAAUAAGUUACUGAGUUAGUAUAAUUUUCGAUACAUGUUUCGUUCCAAAGGUAUAAUAUCUCUAAGGUGAGAGAGUGGGUAACUGAAUUGAUUUGAAUAAAUGUUCAACUCUGGAACAUUGUUUUUGCAAUUCAAGUAAAACUAUGGUGGCCCACAGAAAGAAGGAUAAUCGUCGCCAUUGAAAGGGAUGGAAAGGUUUGUUAUAGUGCCACAAUUGAAGGUGAUGUUGUUUUACGUUUCUUGGAACGGGCAUGAACCUUCAUCUAGCAAAGUAAUUAUUAAUAUUAACAAUGCUUUUUAUGCUUGUAGUGUUAUUGUGAUUAUUUCUCUCCAAAGCCUUGGAAGCUUGGAUUGGCUGGUUAAGAGCUUUGGAGGUCCGGUUCCUCAUAAACCUGCUUAGAAUUUGGCAUUUUCAAUUGCAAAUUUUAUACAGAAAGUAUCAUGGCGGAAUAAAUUUUGGAAGAACUGGUGGUGGUCCCUUUAUCGCCACAAGUUAUGAUUAUGAUGCACCUCUUGAGGAAUAUGGUACGCUCUAAACUCUAAACCCUAAAUCCUAAACCCUAAACCCUAAACCCUAAACCCUAAACUGAUUCAAUAGUGUAACAGAUAGUUAUUUUUUUCUCACCCAAAUCAGAAUACUCUAUAUGGUUUAGGUAUUGAAUUUGGCCAAACACAACCCAAAUUGUGACACCCUUAACCUUAAAAAAUUUAUAAAUAAAUAUUUAAAAUUUUUUGUGGAUCUUCGUUGAAAAAUGAAAUACGAGUUUAAAAAUGUCUUUUUGAGAGGUUAAAAAUAUCACUUUGUAAAAGCACAUAUUUUUAUCACUAGUAUCAUGAAAUAAAAUAAUAUAAAUUAUACUCAAUAAUUGUUAUACAAAUAAUCUUUUAAAAAUAUUAUAUGGAUACAAAUCUUUGAAAUGAAAUUUAUAACAAAAGAGACAUGGUAACAACCUAACCUAUAUGUCACUAUAUAGAGUUGUAUCUCAUAUCGGCGUAUGACAAGUCCAACCGACAAGUAAAAUAAUACGUAAAUAAAGGUCAAGUAGUAAGCCUCUACUCCAUCCUCUUGAUAGAAAACUAAUCUUCACUUUCAUAAAUGAUAUUCAUAUUUAUCUGAACAUAAAUAAAAAUAUAGAAGAAGAAGACACAAAAGAAAAGGGCGAGAUACAUUUCAUAUAAUAUUAAGUGGUAAAAUAAUAUAAGUGAAUUGAAACACAACAUAAACAUACACCAAUAGUUUAAAUAUACACACAAUUAAUAUCGCAAUCACACAACAUUACCCAUAAUCAUACCACAUUAUCCAGAGUUUCAUGACUUUACAAAAUUUACACAUGAAUGCUUAUCUAACGCACAUCUCCUCUACUCCAACGAAUGUGGUACUAUCAAUGAACUUAUAGCUCAUUUUAUCGAUUUCUAAUAGAUUAGAAGGAUAGAUGAGCUACGUCCUGCACUACAAUACUCUCCUAGACGUUCAUAGACAAGUAACGUCUAAAAGUACAUGCGAGCUAUGUACGUACUACAACACCCUUCAUUUAGGAGUAGAUAUGAGCUAUGUUCGUACUGUAACACUCUCUCAGACGUCCGUAGAUAUGCAAUGCCUAUAGUAUAUGCAAGUUAUGUCAUACUACACACUAUCACUAGAAGAUACCUACUCCGAUAUAUAUGAUGCAUAAAAAAACAAGAAUUCCAUCCGAACCUCUAAAACAUAAAUACUCCCUCCGUCUCAUAAAAAAUGGAGGGAGUAAUACACUGGUUCUUAUUUAACUUCCAACAUAAUUCAAUACUGGUUCUUAUCAAACCUUCAACACAAUGAAACACUUGCUCUUAUCGAACCUUCAACAUAAUCAAACAUUGAUUCUUAUCGAACCUUCAACAUAAUUGACACAUUAGGCCUUCACAAGUACUAUAUGAAACACUGGACUUACGUCCGAAAGGUAUUCACACAAUCAUUCAUCAUAGAUAACUUGGUUCAUAACAACAUCUUAUCAAAAGGUUGGACUCAUGUCCUACAACAAUAUACAACAUUAUACAACUAUUCAUUAUUUACAUCAUUAUUCAAACAUAUAAGCAUCUUGAAGCAUUUACCCUUUGAUUGGUCUACACAUUAGCUUUCUAAUGCAUCCGACCCCACCUUAAUUGGAGCAACCAAACUCAAAUUAUGUCAAUUUUAGUUAUACCUCAUACUAAGAACAACAACAACUAUGGCCUGGCCGUAGUUAAUGCUAAGAUUGUAGUAACACAAAACAUGCGUUACCUUAUAGAAAGCAGAAACAACUACGUCUGGCCAUAGCCAGAACUCAAAAUUAUGUAUUUUGGUUCCUUUUCUUCAAACAAAAUCCUCCCUAACAUGUUUGUUUACUCAACUCAAGACUCAUAAAAACAUUAUAGCUACAAAAUUAAAUAACAUAACACAUCACAAUAUCAUUUAAACAUAAAGUCCUAAAUUAAAAUCCUCAAACCAUAUUUUUAUCCUAUAUUUGCUAAGCAUUGUCAAACUCAUUACAUAAUAAUUUUACAACUUAGAGCUAACAUCAAUUUGACUUCAUUAUCUACUAGAUAAUAUAUUUUCUUUUUCCAAAUAAUCAUAUACUAACAAAUAUUCAAAAUCUAAAGUUUACUUUCUUCAAAGCAAUUUCUAAAUGAUGAAUUAUAAUUCAUCUAUUAGUCUAAUACAUUAUAAUUUUUUUUAUACAUUAUACUCCAACAUACAAAUCGACAAUCACACGUUCAAACACUAUCCUUCACGAAAGUUAUCCCCACGAACACACAAGAGAAUAAAAUAAAUCAUUAAAAAUAUAUAUCAUUAAAAAACUAAGUUUGAACCGGGGUCGGCCAAUCCCUCUACCCACAACCAUUAUCACACCCAUGAGUAAAAUAAUCUCCACCUUUACCUCGAAUGAAGUUUUUACACGACAUAAGGAACCGAGCAAUGACCAUGAGUACAAAUACUUUUGUACUGUUCAAAAAAUUACAGGUGUGUGUGUGUGUUCUCCCUACAAGGGUAACAAGACUUAGAGGACCUGGUAUGUAUAUUACAUUUUUAGGGGUGAGGGCUAGUCAUGUAUAGAGGUUUUUUAGGCCGUUUUAGGAACCAACUCACGUGAGGUGAGAGGUCCUGUUGUUGGUCGGCGCUGCUAGACAGAUCAAUUUGUAGUGAUCUUUAUAGACAAAAUCUUAAUCUAAUCCUACACACCUAAAGAGCACAUGGAGCAUUUGAGGAUUGUGUUAUCUGUUCUCUGAGAGAAGCAAUUUUUUACAAAGUUUAACAAGUGUGAGUUUUGUAUUUCCAAAGUGAGAUUUCUUGGUCAUGUAAUAUCUGGAGGAGGUGUAGUUGUAGAUCCAUCAAAGUUAGAGGCGAUAAUCAAUUUGGAGAGACUAAAGAAUGCAUAUGCAGUCCGGAGUUUCUUGAGUUUAGCAGGUUACUAUCGAAGGUUUAUUAUGGGAUUUUCUAAGUUGGCAUUAUCGUUAACGAAACAUAAUAGGAAAGAGGUUACUUUUAGAUGGGAAUCCAAGUGUGAACAAUGUUUUUUGGAAAAUAAAGAAGAAUUUAACCACCGUUCCGCUAUUAGUAAUUCCAAAUCUAAAUCAGCCAUAUGAAGUAGGGCUUGGAUGGGGUACUUAUGCAAAAUGGGCAGGUUGCGACCUAUGCAUCUUGACAGUUUAGACGUCAUGAGGAAUGCUAUCCUACCCAUUAUCUUGAACUUUAUACUAUUGUCUUCACCCUCAAGGUGUGGCGACACUACUUGUACGGAGUUCACUUAGAGGUGUUUAGUGAUCAUAAGAGCAUGUAGUAUCUCUUAGAUCAGAAGGAACUAAAUAUGUGUCAGAGAAGAUGGAUGGAGUAUCUUAAGGACUAUGACUUUGAGUGAAGUAUUAUCCAGAAAAGGCUAAUAAGUUGGUUAAUGCCUUGAGAAGAAAAGAAAUGUACGCCACUGAAUUGAUGGUACUAGAGCAUGAUUUAAUGGAGAAAUGUUGAUAUCUUGAUCUCCUAUUUAUGUGGAUCCCGAAAUGUGUGUUGAUUAGUAACUUAAGUAUCAAAAGUGAUUUGAGAGAGAGAAUUUGUAAGACCCAAUGGUCUGAUGUAUAAUUACAAGCCAACGAAGACCUUCCUGAUUUUGUUCGAGCCCCUGAUGGAGUCCUUCUCUUUAAAUAAAGGAUUUGCAUACCCAAUGACUCUGAGUUAAGAAAAAUGAUCUUGGACGAAGCCUAUCAGAGCAAUUCUCUAUUCACCUUGGUUCGUCGAAGAUGAAUCAGGAUUUGAAGAAGAACUUCUGGUGGCCUGGUAUGAAGAAAGACAUUGCGACGUAUGUGGCACAAUGUGUUAUUUGUCAGCAAGUGAAGAUAGAGAACUAGAGAUCAGGCGGUAUGUUAUGUAACACCCCAUAAUUUCAGUUUAUUAAUUUAAUUUGGAUUUAAAUUAAAUAAUUGGAAUUUUAUAAUUUUAAAUUGGAUUUAAUUGGAAAAUGAUGGAAUAUGAGAUAUUGGGCUUAUGGUGUGGUGAUAGUAAAAGGGGGGGGGGUGCUAACUAGUUAGGCCUUUUACUAAGUUGUGAUAUUUUUAUUUUAUUUUAUUUUCAUAAAAUAAGAGAGAAAGGAACCAUUUGGGGAGAAAAGAAGAACACGUGAAAAGAAGAGAAGAGAAAGAGGCAAGAACGUGAAACCGGAAGGAGAGCAUUCAAGAGAUUCAUCGAGAUUGAAGAGUAGCGGCAUUAGUGCUCGGUAUUCAUGCUUAUUGGAGCUUCGAGGAAUAAAGUGUCGAAGGCACGGCUCCGAUUGCGCGAUUUUGGAUCAAAUAAGCAAGUUUUGUGCAGAGAGCGCCGCUGAGCGGCGUGUAAGCGCGCUUUCCAGGGGCGAACCAAAUUUCCCUGGCCGCUAAGCGGCGGGUCUUGCCGCUAAGCGGAGGCCUGUUUACUGUUCUUGAUAUUUUUGUAAUACGUGUAGUCCGCUAAGCGAGAUUUGGCCGCUAAGCGGCCGUAGCAGAAAUUAUGUUUAUAUUCUUUCAUUUGAACCAUUUUAGGGUUAUGGUUUUGGAGAGUUUUUGGUUCCAACUCCAUCAUUUUCAUUCUUAGAUUAGGAUUAGCUUAGAAAACAACACCGGGUCAUGCACUUGGAAGAUCGGAGGUGGAUUUCUCAUCAACCGGAGCUGACAACCCGCGAGAUGUUUGGUUUAUCUUCUCUAUUCUCUGUGUAUUUCUUUUGUGUUGGGUUUGUUUGUAUAUUUACUUGAAUCUUAUGUAUAUUUACCGAUUAUAAUGUUAUGUUUAACUUGCUUUACAAAUCUGUGUUGAUAUUGUUCUGGAUUUUUGCUCUAUGCUGGGGAUUUGGGUUGCUUUAGAGAUAAACUGCUUGAAUCUUUAUCUAGGAUGAUAUUCUGUUGGUUCUGAACUCUAGAGAUAGAUUUAGAGCUAGCAUUCACUGUGGGUAUCCGUUCUUAAUGCUUUCGUGUUUGAGCGGCGCGCGAGAGAUCGCCGACGCGAGAAUACGGAUGUUCUCGUGACUUUGCGUUAGAGAUAACCUUAGUUGUGAGAUGAUCUCGUUUGUGCUCCAGAGAUGGACGCUUAUGUGAGAGAUACGUGAUGACAUAGAUGAGUAUCGUAGGUUGAGUAUAAUGGGUUGGUAAGUGUAUGUUUGUGAAGAGUGAAUAUAUUUACAUUCCUGAUAAGUUAUUUCUCUUCUAAGAAUGUGUUUAUUCUUUUCCUGUCUAUAUCUUUGUUUACUUUUUUCUCAUUCAAACCCAAGCUCGAAACCGUAGAAACUAUUGAAUGGCAUCUCUCCAUCUCUGAGGACGAUAAUUCCCGGAUCAAUAUUUCCAAAUCUUUUUUGUUGCUUGCCCUAUACUGCAUUCAACAAAAUGGCGCCGUUGCCGGGGAUGGUUGUGAUUGC